Non-coding RNA from Paramormyrops kingsleyae, 767 nucleotides. The record is from RefSeq and is a predicted model, not a curated record. NCBI's taxonomy places the organism in Eukaryota, Metazoa, Chordata, Actinopteri, Osteoglossiformes, Mormyridae.
AUGUACGACAGUUAGUAUUUGUACCACCUCAGAACUGUACCACAGUUUGACAGAAACCUAUAACCUAUAAUUUACGGUGGCUGUACAGAUAUUUUCAGGAAAGAAUGUUAAAUGACACAUUAUAUAAUUUCUAACAUAUAGGCCAAGACGCCGCAAACCCUGACCAGGAUAGGCGGUUGUAAGACGGAUGGGGAAGGAGACAGCGACAGGACGAUUACAUAAUUAUUUCAAAAUCCUUGUAAAAGCUUACAAGGGACCUGAAAAUAGUCAUGAAAAGCCACCCCCACUCCACCAGGAUUUGGCCCUCCAAAGACAAUAAUCGGCCAGACCUGAUUUUCCCACUCAGCCAGUGCAUGGUGGCGAUGAGCCAUCAGGAAAUACACAUAAACAGCACAUUUGUGCAUAGAUGUUUGAUAAAGUGGCUGUCGCUGGACAAGUGGGGGAACAAGGAGAAGAAGCAGCUGUUCCUGAUGCAUCAUAAUGCUGAGGAAUGGAUUUGUGUUGACUAAGGGCCGAAUAAAAUCCAAACUCAACCACUUGCUAAACACAAAUUAUAUAGUAAAUGUUAUCAGUGGUUUGGUUUAGGGUCAGAGUUGUAGGAUUUUCAUUUUAUUUUAUUUGUUUAGAUUUUGAAAGUCAGUGCUUUCAUUUUGUCUGCCUUAACUUUAAUUGCACUAAUUGCACACAUUUUGUUAAAAUAUUUUAUUAGAUGGAGAAAUAUUUCUAACAUGCAGAGUGUCUUCUCGUCAAUGAAUGAAAAUGUUGAU